This is a long non-coding RNA of Stomoxys calcitrans (stable fly), 1107 nucleotides long. RefSeq lists it as uncharacterized. Lineage: Eukaryota; Metazoa; Arthropoda; Insecta; Diptera; Muscidae. The record is from RefSeq and is a predicted model, not a curated record. The transcript is spliced from 4 exons.
UCAACAUCAUCACAGCAUACUUCUUUUUCUUUAACCACACAUUAAGAAUUUUCGCUAUUCUACGUUGCAGACUCAAACGUAAUCUCACUAAGAAUCUCUUGGAUUUGAUUUGAAGACUUAAAUACGAUUGCCACGUAAGCGGAUAAAAUCUCUUGAGGACAAUAAUAAAAUGGCCAAGAAGCAAACGUUUCGAUGCCAUGUGAGAUUCUGAACUGAAUGGAAAAAUUAAAAAGAUUUGCUGCUUUGCUGGACAAAAACCAAAAAAAAAGAAAAAAAUCAAAAAAAAAAAAACACUUCUAGCCAAAAACAAAAACCAACGUAAAUUCAAUAUUCGAUUGAGAAAAAAAAAUUCGGCAGGAAAACCAGAUGAAACCACGCAGUAAUUGCUACGAAAAAAAAAUCAAAACAAGAGCACAGAAAAGGCACUUCAUAGUGUAAGAAGGCAUACGGAUGCAGCCAUGCACGCAACAACUUGGAGUAAAACAAUUGAGAUGUGCCAGCCUACCAUGAAAAUAAACCAUUGAAAAAAGAGACGACAAUAAACCAAACAAAAAAUACAAAAAAUGCAAAUCAAUAUCUUUUUCAUUACCACACGCAAGUGGAGUGGACUUCAAAAGCAAUGCAAUGGCCCAAAUAUGGAAAACUUGCAUUAUGGGUACAGCAGUUCAUUAUACAAAACCAUAAAAGAGUUGUGGAAAAAUGGAAGGCCUUUAAUAUAGUUGUGUAUGAUAUCGGAGCCCACCGUGGCGCAUAGGUUAGCAUGUCCAGUAAUGACGCCUAACACAUGGGCUCAAAUCCCAUCAUGAACAACAAAUGUUCAGCUGUGGUUAUCCCCUUACUAAUGCUGGCUGUAUUGUGAGGUAUCCUGCCAUGUUAACACUUCUCUACUAAGUGGUGUCGCUAUGCGGCAUGCCGUUCGGACUCGGCAAAAAAAGGAAGCCCCUUACCAUUGAGCUUAAACGUUAAUCGGACUGCAAUCAUUAAUAUCAGAGAAGUAUCUCCUGUUGCUUAGUGGAAUUUUCACAAAGCCGAAAUAAUUCCAAAUAAACACUGAAAGAGUCUGAGAAUCAUCAACUGAACUUGAACUUGGCGUCCUUUCCAAUAAGC